Molecule: ribosomal RNA, 1098 nt
Filed under: Triticum aestivum (bread wheat)
Lineage: Eukaryota; Viridiplantae; Streptophyta; Magnoliopsida; Poales; Poaceae
Description: partial small subunit ribosomal RNA
Source: RNAcentral
AUGAUAUGUUUAGUGCAGUCAUCCAUGUCUGAUUCAGAGAAGGACUUGCAUAUGGUGUUCAUUGACUUGGAGAAGGCCUAUGAUAAGAUACCGCGGAAUGUCAUGUGGUGGGCCUUGGAGAAACACAAAGUCCCAGCAAAGUACAUUACCCUCAUCAAGGACAUGUACAAUAAUGUUGUGACAAGUGUUCGAACAAGUGAUGUCGACACCGAUGACUUCCCGAUUAAGAUAGGACUGCAUCAGGGGUCAGCUUUGAGCCCUUAUCUUUUUGCAUUGGUGAUGGAUGAGGUCACAAGGGGUAUACAAGGAGAUAUCCCAUGGUGUAUGCUCUUUGCGGAUGAUGUGGUGCUAGUUGACGAUAGUCGGACGGGGGUAAAUAGGAAGUUAGAGUUAUGGAGACAAACCUUGGAAUCGAAAGGGUUUAGGCUUAGUAGAACUAAAACCGAGUACAUGAUGUGCGGUUUCAGUACUACUAGCUGUGAGGAGGAGGAGGCUAGCCUUGAUGGCCAGGUGGUACCUCGGAAGGACACCUUUCGGUAUUUGGGGUCAAUGUUGCAGGAGGAUGGGGGUAUUGAUGAAGAUGUGAACCAUCGAAUCAAAGCCGGAUGGAUGAAGUGGCGCCAAGCUUCUGGCAUUCUCUGUGACAAGAGAGUGCCACAAAAGGUAAAAGGCAAGUUCUACAGGACGGCGGUUCGACCCGCAAUGUUGUAUGGCGCGGAGUGUUGGCCGACUAAAAGGCGACAUGUUCAACAGUUAGGUGUGGCGGAGAUGCGUAUGUUGAGAUGGAUGUGUGGCCACACGAGGAAGGAUCGAGUCCGGAAUGAUGAUAUACGAGAUAGAGUUGGGGUAGCACCAAUUGAGGAGAAGCUUGUCCAACAUCGUUUGAGAUGGUUUGGGCAUAUUCAGCGCAGGCCUCCAGAAGCUCCAGUGCAUAGCGGACGGCUAAAGCGUGCGGAGAAUGUCAAGAGAGGGCGGGGUCGACCGAUUUUGACAUGGGAGGAGUCCGUUAAGAGAGACCUGAAGGAUUGGAGUAUCGACAAAGAGCUAGCUAUGGACAGGGGUGCGUGGAAGCUUGCUAUCCAUGUGCCAGAGCCAUGA